RNAcentral lists this ribosomal RNA (254 nucleotides) under uncultured bacterium. Its description in RNAcentral is "partial 16S ribosomal RNA". It matches the Rfam family "Bacterial small subunit ribosomal RNA", at positions 524 to 776 of the family's 1533-position model. The record is from RNAcentral.
UACAGAGGGUGCAAGCGUUAAUCGGAAUUAUUGGGCGUAAAGCGCGCGUAGGUGGUUGUACACGUUUUGAUGUGAAAGCCCUGGGCUUAACCUGGGAAUUGCGUUGAAUACGGUAUAACUCGAGUCGGUCAGAGGGUCGUGGAAUUUCCGGUGUAGCGGUGAAAUGCGUAGAGAUCGGAAAGAACAUCGAUGGCGAAGGCAGCGACCUGGGACCAGACUGACACUGAGGUGCGAAAGCGUGGGGAGCAAACAGG